RNAcentral lists this ribosomal RNA (467 nucleotides) under uncultured bacterium. RNAcentral describes it as "partial 16S ribosomal RNA". It matches the Rfam family "Bacterial small subunit ribosomal RNA", at positions 28 to 507 of the family's 1533-position model. The record is from RNAcentral.
GAUGAACGCUGGCGGCGUGCUUAACACAUGCAAGCCGAACGGAAAGGCCCAAGCUUGCUUGGGUACUCGAGUGGCGAACGGGUGAGUAACACGUGGGUGAUCUGCCCUGCACUUCGGGAUAAGCCUGGGAAACUGGGUCUAAUACCGGAUAGGACCACUUCUUGGAUGUUGUGGUGGAAAGUUUUUUCGGUGUGGGAUGAGCUCGCGGCCUAUCAGCUUGUUGGUGGGGUAAUGGGCUACCAAGGCGUCGACGGGUAGCCGGCCUGAGAGGGUGUACGGCCACAUUCGGACUGAGAUACGGCCCAGACUCCUACUAGAGGCAGCAGUGGGGAAUAUUGCACAAUGGGCGCAAGCCUGAUGCAGCGACGCCGCGUGGGGGAUGACGGCCCUCGGGUUGUAAACUCCUUUCGCUAGGAACGAAGCGUUUUGUGACGUUACCUAGAGGAGAAGCACCGGCUAACUACGUG